Molecule: ribosomal RNA, 254 nt
Filed under: uncultured bacterium
Lineage: Bacteria
Description: partial 16S ribosomal RNA
Rfam family: Bacterial small subunit ribosomal RNA
Source: RNAcentral
UACGUAGGGGGCGAGCGUUGUCCGGAUUUAUUGGGCGUAAAGAGCUCGUAGGCGGUUCGAUAAGUCGGACGUGAAAUCUCCACGCUCAACGUGGAGGGGCCGUUCGAUACUGUCGUGGCUCGAGUCCGGUAGGGGAGUGUGGAAUUCCCGGUGUAGCGGUGAAAUGCGUAGAGAUCAGGCAGAACACCUGGGGCGAAGGCGGCCAGCUGGGCCGUCCCUGACGCUGAGGCGCGAAGGCGUGGGGAGCGAACGGG